This 74-nucleotide transfer RNA is filed under the name Candidatus Komeilibacteria bacterium CG_4_10_14_0_2_um_filter_37_10. Its description in RNAcentral is "tRNA-Trp". It matches the Rfam family "tRNA". From Rfam's summary of the family: Transfer RNA (tRNA) molecules are approximately 80 nucleotides in length. Their secondary structure includes four short double-helical elements and three loops (D, anti-codon, and T loops). The record is from RNAcentral. Lineage: Bacteria; Candidatus Komeiliibacteriota.
GGGGGUGUCGUAUAAUGGUAGUACAAUGGUCUCCAAAACCAUUUGCGUGGGUUCGAUUCCUACCACCCCUGCCA